This 253-nucleotide ribosomal RNA is filed under the name uncultured bacterium. Its description in RNAcentral is "partial 16S ribosomal RNA". It matches the Rfam family "Bacterial small subunit ribosomal RNA", at positions 524 to 776 of the family's 1533-position model. The record is from RNAcentral.
UACGAAGGGUGCAAGCGUUAGUCGGAAUUACUGGGCGUAAAGCGUGCGCAGGCGGUUGUGCAAGACAGAUGUGAAAUCCCCGGGCUUAACCUGGGAAUUGCAUUUGUGACUGCACGGCUAGAGUGUGUCAGAGGGGGGUAGAAUUCCACGUGUAGCAGUGAAAUGCGUAGAUAUGUGGAGGAAUACCGAUGGCGAAGGCAGCCCCCUGGGAUAACACUGACGCUCAUGCACGAAAGCGUGGGGAGCAAACAGG